RNAcentral lists this ribosomal RNA (512 nucleotides) under uncultured bacterium. RNAcentral's name for it is "partial 16S ribosomal RNA". It matches the Rfam family "Bacterial small subunit ribosomal RNA", at positions 28 to 523 of the family's 1533-position model. The record is from RNAcentral.
GACGAACGCUGGCGGCAUGCCUAAUACAUGCAAGUCGAGCGAACAGAUGAAGUGCUUGCACUUCUGACGUUAGCGGCUAACGGGUGAGGAACACGUGGACAACCUGCCUCAAGGCUGGGGAUAACAUUUGGAAACGGAUGCUAAUACCGAAUGAAACUUAGUGUCGCACGAUACGAAGCUAAAAGACACUUUCGCGUCACCUAGAGAGGUAUCCGCGGUGCAUUAGCUAGUUGGUGGGGUAAAGGCCUACCAAGACAAUGAGGCAUAGCCGAGUUGAGAGACUGAUCGGCCACAUUGGGACUGAGACACGGCCCAAACUCCUACGGGAGGCUGCAGUAGGGAAUCUUCCACAAUGGGCGAAAGCCUGAUGGAGCAACGCCGCGUGUGUGAUGAAGGCUUUCGGGUCGUAAAGCACUGUUGUAUGGGAAGAACAGCUAGAAUAGGGAAUGAUUUUAGUUUGACGGUACCAUACCAGAAAGGGACGGCUAAAUACGUGCCAGCCGCCGCGGUAA